Molecule: long non-coding RNA, 248 nt
Filed under: Lathyrus oleraceus (garden pea)
Lineage: Eukaryota; Viridiplantae; Streptophyta; Magnoliopsida; Fabales; Fabaceae
Description: Pisum sativum (pea) long non-coding RNA (PSAT_LNC035963)
Source: RNAcentral
AAGAUUAUGCUGGUGAAAAUGAUGUUGAUAAAGAGAAAGAAGAUGAAGGAGAAGAGUAUGCAACAGUUGACUCAGAUAGUCAGGAAGAUAUCUUAUUUCAGUCUUGUUUUGUUUUGUUUUUUUUUUUGGUUUUUGGUCUGUGACCAGAAUAUUUUGCACCCUUAGGUGUCCCCUUGUGUGAGAUCUUGUACUUUAUGAAUAUGGUUUUAUCAGUUUUUGGUUGGAUGCUUACCUUUGUUAGAUUAUGG